RNAcentral lists this ribosomal RNA (492 nucleotides) under uncultured bacterium. Its description in RNAcentral is "partial 16S ribosomal RNA". It matches the Rfam family "Bacterial small subunit ribosomal RNA", at positions 29 to 523 of the family's 1533-position model. The record is from RNAcentral.
AUUGAACGCUGGCGGCAUGCUUUACACAUGCAAGUCGAACGGUAACAGGUUAAGCUGACGAGUGGCGAACGGGUGAGUAAUGCAUCGGAACGUGCCCGAUCGUGGGGGAUAACGCAGCGAAAGCUGCGCUAAUACCGCAUACGAUCUGAGGAUGAAAGCGGGGGACCGUAAGGCCUCGCGCGAUCGGAGCGGCCGAUGUCAGAUUAGGUAGUUGGUGGGGUAAAGGCCCACCAAGCCGACGAUCUGUAGCUGGUCUGAGAGGACGACCGGCCACACUGGGACUGGGACACGGCCCAGACUCCUACGGGAGGCAGCAGUGGGGAAUUUUGGACAAUGGGCGAAAGCCUGAUCCAGCAAUGCCGCGUGCAGGAAGAAGGCCUUCGGGUUGUAAACUGCUUUGUACGGAGCGAAAAGGUCCUUUCUAAUACAGGGGGCUCAUGACGGUACCGUAAGAAUAAGCACCGGCUAACUACGUGCCAGCCGCCGCCGUAA